RNAcentral lists this long non-coding RNA (200 nucleotides) under Phoenix dactylifera (date palm). RNAcentral's name for it is "long non-coding RNA (PDAC_LNC019653)". The record is from RNAcentral. Lineage: Eukaryota; Viridiplantae; Streptophyta; Magnoliopsida; Arecales; Arecaceae.
UUGGAGAUAGAGAUACCCGUAGGUCGUUUUUUGGAUUCUCCGACCUGAAAAUAGAUAAAAUAUUAAAAUUAUUUGAAGCCAAAGUGGCGUCCUGUACCUUUUGGAGAUAUUUUGAUGGCUUUCGAGCUUUGAAGUCCCUCAGGACUUGGUUCAGCACCGGCCUUCUUUGGCUCGAUUUUCUGGGAGGUGUUCUGCACUCG